RNAcentral lists this long non-coding RNA (329 nucleotides) under Homo sapiens (human). RNAcentral describes it as "HSALNT0254924". The record is from RNAcentral. Lineage: Eukaryota; Metazoa; Chordata; Mammalia; Primates; Hominidae.
GUGUUGGUGUGCACGUAUUGGUGUGCAGGUGUUGGUGUGGAUGUUGGUGUGGACAUUGGUGUGCAGGUGUUGGUGUGGGUGUUGGUGUGGACGUUGGCGUGCAGGUGUUGGUGUGGGUGUUGGUGUGCAGGUGUUGGUGUGGACAUUGGUGUGCAGGUGCUGGUGUGGAUGUUGGUGUGCAGGUGCUGGUGUGGACGUUGGUGUGCGGGUGUUGGUGUGCGUGUUGGUGUGCAGGUGUUGGCGUGGAUGUUGGUGUGCAGGUGUUGGUGUGGGUGUUGGUGUGCAGGUGGUGUGCAGGUGUGGGUGUUGGUGUGGGUGUUGGUGUGCAG